UUUGGUUUAUUUGUUCUGUAAUCAUACAGAUGUGACAUUAGGUCAUGUGACUGGAUCUGAUGUCAAAUUCAUCAUAAUGUGGCUCAGAGAGGAGGGACUCAGUGUUCAUAUGAUCUUGUGUCUGACAGAGACUGCGGUUGAAAGCAUUCAGAGGACUCUUCUCAGAGUGAAAACUUGUACAAUGAAUCUUCAUUCAGCUAUUCUGUUCUGUGCCUCAGCAGCUGCUGUCUUUGGGAAUGUCAUUAAACCAAACAAAACAGAUGUUUUUGCUGAGGAAGGUUCAAAUGUUACAUUAUCUUGUAGUUUUACUGCAUCUGGAGGUUCAGAUUAUCUCCACUGGUACCGUCAGUAUGGAAGAUCAAAACCUGAAUUUAUUGUACUCAUCUACAGCAAUAAAAAAGAAGCUCAGCAGUCUGAUGUAAAUCCAAGAUUCUCUGUUAACAUUCCAAAAAGUGAACGUGUGGAUCUGAAGAUCUUCUCUGCUGCUGUAUCAGACUCUGCUCUGUACUACUGUGCUCUGGUGCCCACAGUGACAGGAAACACAAGAACAAUGUACAAAAACCCGUUACAAUGAGAGAAAAAUGCAAACAUGAUCAAAAUAUGAAAAAAAGAUUCUAAAGUUAGUCAAAAGGCCAGUUUUUUUACAGUGUAAAAAUUGUAUGGCAUUAUGGAACGUGAAUUAUAGCAAAUCCAUAUAAUACUGUCCUGUAAUAGACCGGUCACUUUAGAAAAAUUCUACUAUGCAGAAAAUAAAAUACUUCAUUUGCAUGAAGGUGUAUGACAUUUGCAGUUGCCAUACUUGCAGUGAACCAGAAGAGGGCAGUAGAUAUUGACUAUUUAAUUUGAGAAUACAGCAGUUCUCCACAAGCUCCUCCUUGGAUCGUCAUUAUAAUACCAGUUUCAAGACUCUUACAUUUACAGAUUUUUCUUCAACAUAGACACAGUCAUGCCACGCAGGUUGAGGAAUAUAUUUCUCUUCACAAUACUCAUUCUUGGUAUGAAUUAUCAUUUAAUACAGCUGUAUAUUCAUGUAAGUUGAUUAUAUGUUGUAUUGUAUUGUACA
This is a non-coding RNA of Carassius carassius (crucian carp), 1063 nucleotides long. The record is from the annotation of a RefSeq genome assembly. Lineage: Eukaryota; Metazoa; Chordata; Actinopteri; Cypriniformes; Cyprinidae.